AAUCAGUAAUGAAAAACUGAAAUGAAAAAAUGAAAAAAAUGAAUGAAAAAAAACUUUAUGGUGUAGAAAGUCACACCAUCCACAAAACUCUUCCUUUUCCAGCUGUUGGUAAACUGUAACUGCUUAUUGUCCUAAGCAGGUCAAUAAAUUACUAGGUUGCCAAAUCUUCAUGUGAGCAUUUGGUAAAACGUCUGCAGAAAUAAGUGAUUGAAUAACCAAGAAACUAAAGUUGAAAAGGAUGUGUAGGUCACCGAUUACUUGGCUAUUUUGAAAUUGCUUAAGCUCAGUUAAAGCCAGGGAGAGCUAAAGACCUUGGGUCAACACCUCUGAGUCUAACAUCAACAAUAUUUAACACCUCAGAUUGAGAAGUAAUUACUACCACAGAAAAUUUAGUAAAGUUAUUGCAAUAAGGGUAUUCAGAAGAAGUCUGUCUUUCUUCAGUCAUUAAAACAUAAAGGUACUAUAUUUAAAUAUUCCUCUUGGUUUUUUUAGACAUAACUGUCUCCGCAGUACAAAUCUCUAGAGUCUGAAGAUGAGACUGCUUUCCAGUUUAUGCUGGGGCACACAUACUUCUGUAAAAAUAUCAAGCCUGAAAUUAAUAGCAACAAUUCAGCUCUUAAUUAGAUAUGCAAUAAGCCUUAAGCUGUAUUAUCUUACAUAUUCAACUCAGUAACUUUUAAUGAUGACAUCAAAUAAAAGCAUGUGUAUGCUACAAGUUGAAGUGGUUGGUCUUCUGUCUGAAAAGAUAACUGAAACUUGUUAAAGAUAAAUUAAUAGACACAUUUUAUAUUCCCAACCUAGGAGUAUAAGUAUACAUCAGUACUCAAAAGACAAAACUAUAAGCAUAGCUGUGUAUUUAUUAACUAACCAACAACCUACCUCCUUUCUCUGAUUUAUUUUAAUACUGAACUUUCUGUUACAUAAGUAUGUGCAUUUCAGAAACUCAGCACAAAAAAAAAGAAAUCACACUAGCUGAGCCACUGUGAUCUGUAAAAAUGGGAAUCAUUCCAGCUAAAAACAUACACAGUGACUCAGUAACUCAGCCUUUGCAUAUGCAAAAGUUGCAAUCGUUGGCAAACAAAUAACUGAAAAAAUUACAACUUGACAUAAGAAAUACUGCAAUAGACAUUAGGGAACGCAGGGUAACUAUUUUGCCUGAAGCACUAUCAGCAGCUCUUGGAGCUGGGGCCAACCCAUCUGUAGAUAACAAGAACGACAUGUAACCUGUAGCCUUUGAGAAAAUACUGACUUCAGACAUGAGACUUGUUGGAGAAGAAUGCAAGACUUCCUAGCUUCUGGAAUUGCAUUCCUUCCACCCUCCACAGCUCAGGAAGAAAGAGUGGGUGGGCACACAGCCACCGCUGCUGGCACAGGGCCGACCCAUGUGGCAAGCCCAUUCUAUUCCACUAGACUGUUUGUGUUACACACAGCAACACUUCCUGCAGCUCUCCGAUCCCGAGAAAAAAAACAAAACUCUCACUCCUGCUGUACAAGACUGAAAUCUGUAUUCCUCUGGAAACUCACGGUACUGCGAUAAACAGCUGAACCCCAAAGUCCCAGGCAAAGUGUACUCGAUAUCCAAGGUGCCAUACUCUCAUCCAUACAAUUCCAAGUCCAAGGAAGUACCACACGUUUAGCAUCCCUUUCUACCAUAAAUGAACUUUUAAGUGCUAUAAAGCAAACCUCAUGAAGAUUGUGUAGCUCCUCAACUGAGAGCUGCUUUUGUGGAUUACCAAGGAGAGACAGCAGAAUAUGGUGCAUCUGCUUUAAAGACUAAUGGAAGGCAGACGAGUUGACUGCUUAAUCCCUGUUCAGUCCUGUUGGCAUCCACGCUGACCCUGGCAAACCCAUCCAAGGAGUAUGAUUUCAUCACCAUAACUUUAUCUCUUCACUCUGCUUGCUGUUCCCUCCUGCAGCUGAUCCCUCCAGAUCUAAUCUUCUUCAGAUAAAUGAGAUGUACUUGAAAACAUUUCAUGGACAAUAAGCCUGAGUUUUCAGAUGUCAGAUUUACUACAACAAUUUUGUAUCGCUUUUCUACACACGUUUAUCAAUCAAUAAUUCAACGAUUACUUCUCAUGUGGAGCACAACUGUACAGCACAUACAUGCACUUAUGAAUUCAGUUACUCUUGAUGACCUCAGCCAUCAAGGAAGAUACCUUCUUAUCCAGCUAGCAAAGAAGAUGAACAAAUGUCCAAGAGUCCCAAUUAUGUUAGGACUCAUCUGUGUCAAAGAUGUAGUGUACUGUGAGGGGUAAAAUACUUUGGUUGGCAUGUAAGUGUAAUUCAGCUUAAUAAAAGGUUGGUACAAACUUAUAUCUUCAAAUUCCUUUUAUGUUAAAAGUCCUUAAUUAUUAGAAUUCUGAUUCAUCUCUUUUAAAAGAGUAACAGUUUUCUAUACCUAAGCACAAAAGGGAAGAAGCUGAGGGACAAGAACAUUACUAAGCAGAAAGAACCUAUGAGAAAUUCAGAUAGCAGAAAUAUGUUUAGGGUAUACAUGUAGGGUACAUAUACUGAUAGGUACUUUUGUUCAUCAAUCUGUGCCUUACAAUUCAGUGAAAAAUUUCAACCAAAAAAAAAAAAAAAAAAAAAAGGAUAAGUAUGAAAUGCACUGCAGAACCAUAACUCUAACAGAAGCUUCCUGUUUGGCCUCCAACAACUCCAUGAGGCAUAGCCUCUCAAAAGUAUUUCUAUAUCUUCGUUUUUAAACUUCUUCAUUGCUUAGCCUGUUCAUGAUCCAGUUUCCCCCACUUCUGAAAUGAGAAUAUAGCUACCCUUCUCCUCCUGCACUGGAAGGAAGAUCCAGAAGCGUAGAAGAAGUCUAUGGAUAUUGAGAUGCUGUUCAUUGCAAGGCGUAUGCUCUUCUCCAAGAUUAACUCUGAGCAAUUUUAGAUGUAUGCGGUGUCACUUCCACCUUAAAAUGGUAUAUCUAUUGAUAGUGCUACAGCUGUCACAAGAAUUCUCAGGGUUAUAACCAA
Long non-coding RNA from Lagopus muta (rock ptarmigan), 2975 nucleotides. RefSeq lists it as uncharacterized. Lineage: Eukaryota; Metazoa; Chordata; Aves; Galliformes; Phasianidae. The record is from RefSeq and is a predicted model, not a curated record. The transcript is spliced from 3 exons.